UCAAGGUCAAGAGUCACAGGGCGCCUGGGUGGCUAAGUCGGUUGAGUGUUGGGACUUCAGCUCAGGUCAUGAUCUCAUGGUUUGUGAGUUCGAGCCCCACAUCAGGCUCUGUGGUGACAGCUCGGAGCCUGGAGCCUGCCUCAGAUUCUGUGUCUGCCUCUCUCUCUGUCCCUUCCCCACUUGUGCUCUGUGUCUGUCUCUCAAAGAUAAAUAAACGUUAAAAAAAAAAAAAAAAGAUCAAGAGUCACAUGCUCUGCAGACUGAGCUAGUCAGGCAACCGAACUUCUUCAGACUCUUGUUUCUUCCUCUGAAAAUGGGGAUUGUAAUAGUCCCUACUUUCAAGUAUUAAUGUGAGGUCAUGCUCUAAAGGGCCAGCACAGUGCAGGAACUCAGUAAAUGACAAUCUGUAUUAUUAAAUUAAAUAAUAAGAAUAAGAACAGUCUUGCUACCCUCCCAUCUCUCUGCCUGUGCCCCUCUUACCUCCUAGUGACACUUCUUGUAGCAUCUAAGGAAUCUCUCCCCUCUCAGCACGAGGCCAGUGCUGACAUCACAACAGGGUUAAGAUGACCACCCGGACGCGUCAGGAUGCCUGAGUCCUAGGGAGGGGGCGAGAGGGAGGCCAUGGAGUCAUGGGAAAGAGAGAUCAAAGGUACAGCAGCCUUAUAAGACAGACUGGUGGACACGGGCCAAGUUUGAGCAGAGGUAUGGCAGGUCCACGGGGCAAGGUCAGCAGAAGACGAGAAAGAGAAAGUGGAACAUGAUGGGCACGUCAGGCAAAAUUGGAGUCACUGUAGGAGUUCUGCCAGAAGAGAGUGUGACAGUCAGGGAUCUGGGUUGCAACACAAACUGGCUUUCGCAGAUAGAACCUGACAGAAAGAGAUGGGACAGCCUGCAGAUAACUGAGUACUUAGUCCGAAGAGCUGGAAGCGGGGCUGGGUGAGGGCUGACAGGUGACCGCUGAGAGCUGAGCUCCAAGCUUUGUGAACAGACAAUUCCAUGAUGUCUGAGCUUCCAUUAUGAAUCAAGGUGAUCAAAUAAAUCUGUCACAAAUUUUAAA
Molecule: long non-coding RNA, 1057 nt
Organism: Neofelis nebulosa (Clouded leopard)
Lineage: Eukaryota; Metazoa; Chordata; Mammalia; Carnivora; Felidae
Exons: 2
Source: RefSeq, a predicted model, not a curated record